Molecule: long non-coding RNA, 2529 nt
Organism: Electrophorus electricus (electric eel)
Lineage: Eukaryota; Metazoa; Chordata; Actinopteri; Gymnotiformes; Gymnotidae
Source: RefSeq, a predicted model, not a curated record
GGUAAUUUUUGUGUGGGAAGGUGAAUCUCCUGUCCAUCUUCAGCUGUCUAGCAAAGGGACACAUAUUACAACAAUUUGGAUCCAUUUGGCAGCAUCCAUUUACCCUUCAUUCUUAACCAAUUGACCAGUUCCAGGUGAAGAGAAACAUCCCCAUCAUCAUGCUUCAUGGCCAGCUUUGUGUAAAAGCUCGUGAGAUUGUUGUCACAUGGACAUAAUCGACCAAUCUCAGGCGUACAGACUUGUAGGUCCUUCAAAGUUGCCAUUGGCCUCUUGGUAGCUUCCCUGAUCCAUGUCCUCCUGGCUUGGACAUCCAGCUUGGAGGGACAGUUCAACCUUGGCAAGAAAGCAGCUUUCCAACCAUGGUGAAUUGUACUAUCCUGCACUGCUAGUAGUGGAAUUUCCAAAGAAUGACUGGAUUUAUUCUGAAGUAAUCAAGACCGCUACAAUUGAUGUCAGGUGUGGGCCAAUUAGCCUGGUGUGUGAUCUGGAAGGUGAUUAGUUGUAUCCGAUCAAUUUUAUAAUGAUUACUCUAAUAGGCUGGUAACUUAUCCAAACCAGUAAUUUUACUAAUUACAUUAUAAGAAUUUAGCAGAUUUUUUAAAAGUGUCAUUUUCACUUUGAUGAUGAGAGUAAUUCUGUCUAAACAAAGCUGGAAAAAGUCAGACUUCAUUUAUUUUCGUUUUCAUGGUAUAAUGUGACAAAAGGAAAGGAUUUUGAUGUUGUAUGAUGGUUUCUAUAUGUUCUGUAUAUCAGACCAAAACAAAAUUCAGUUACAGUCAAAUCAUUUAAGAGUCUUAAAUGCUAGUUUUCAUUUACUGUUGAUUGUUGAUUCUUGCAUUUAGACGUUUUUGAACAUGCCCUCCAAGUCCUUGCUUCAGUGUUUACAAAAAAUAUUGUUCUGAAAUGCCUGAUUGUGGCUUUAAUGCAUGGUUAUUUAUUCCAAGAUUAAAGAUAUGGUAUUUAUGUAAUGCAAGCAUGUUGCAGCUGUAAAUGCGUAAUAUGCCAAGCUUGUUUAAAAGGCUUGAAGCCUCUCCUCUGAGUCUCACCCCUACAGUCAUAUUGGUUAUUUUAGGUUUCAAAUUCAGAUUACAAAUUAAAGAUCCUAUCUACUUAUGAUACUACUUAUGAUACACAUCUUCAAUAUCAACAGGGGCUCAAAUGGCAGUAUUUAGUAUUUAACAUUGAACAUUAGUGUUUUUUUAUAAAAUGAAAAUUGGGAAUCCAUUAAAUUAAUGAAACAUUAAUGAAAAAUGUUUAUCAUAAUGUUUACCAUUUACUAAGUGUAACAAUUCUGUCACAUUAUUUAGGCAGUAUAUGUUGCUUCAACAUAUAUGUGGAAUAAGUGUAUAUAAUCUUUUACCAAGAUACUUACUUUCCUUGGCUAAUUACUGUGUAGUGAUUUAAGAGCUGGACAGCAGAUCUAAUUUAUUGUCAUUCUUUGUUGUUAAUUUAAAAACUUAUCAUUGUGACUAAUCCUGUUCAUUUGAAUGAACAUUCAUGACUAAGAUCUGCUCUUAUCAAUCUCAUGGCAGUUAAACCAGAAACAACAAUAUUUUAGGUAGAGAUAUCAUUUCUAGUAAGCUUUUCAUGCACAGGUGCUGAAGUGUCAAAUGCUUUCCGUUCCCUGCUUUCUUCUCUUGGCCUUUGUGCCUUUUUUUACAUUAUACCAUCUAUUAACAGUUAUCAUAGCCACAACCCUAAAUUUAAUCUGAUAUCUGAAUAAAGAUUCUUUCGUUUGAUAUUCAGUAUUUUAAGCAGUACUUUGUUACAUUGACUAAUUAAGCCCUUACUAUUUUAUAUUCAGUGCAACCAGCAUGAUGGUCAGCUAAGGCAAGCAAUAGUUGGAUUUAAAAUGUAUUCCUUUUGUGUUCUGUUCUGUGAAUAUAUAUUCUAUACACUCUGCUAGACACAGGAGCAGAAAUAUACAGAUGAUAUUUUCAUAAAUACUUAUUCAGACUUGAGGAAAGCAUGGUCUUUGCCUUUCUAUUCAGGCUGACCACACAAACUGGGUUUUAAGCAAAAAGUAACACCAUUCCUGCUGUACAAGUAAUUGUAAUGUAGCACAUCCAGGCCUUAAGAAACAAGUAUAACAGAAAGAAAGAAAGAAUAAACAAUAUAUCAGUAAAGAAAAAAAUAAGAAACCAAUAAGCAAAUAAAAAGAAAGCAAACUUUUUCUUAGUUUAUGUCUGUAACAGAAUAUUGCAAAUAUUAUCUUUUGCAAAUAUUGCAGAACAGAAAAGUGAGAGAAAUAUGACUGGCAGACAUUGUACAGUCAAACAUCAUAUAAUGACAAAGCAUUAUUGGGAAAAGAUUUCCUAAUUCUUUUUAGGUUGUUUUCAUUUAACCCAGAUGCAGUAUUUUUGGUGAAAAUUGUUUUUUGUAUAUUGACAAAGAUGUUUUAUGUGUUACACUGUGAACUUCUUUCAGCCUUUAUUUUAAAAAGUAUUCUAACAUUUUCACUUUUAAGUUUUAUUUGCAGAGGUUGUAGUAUAUUGUUCCUUUUUUGUUAGUGUUCCACCCUGAAAUAUA